RNAcentral lists this ribosomal RNA (777 nucleotides) under uncultured bacterium. RNAcentral describes it as "bacterial SSU rRNA". It matches the Rfam family "Bacterial small subunit ribosomal RNA", at positions 337 to 1132 of the family's 1533-position model. The record is from RNAcentral.
UCCUACGGGAGGCAGCAGUGGGGAAUAUUGGACAAUGGGCGCAAGCCUGAUCCAGCCAUGCCGCGUGAGUGAUGAAGGCCCUAGGGUUGUAAAGCUCUUUUGUGCGGGAAGAUAAUGACGGUACCGCAAGAAUAAGCCCCGGCUAACUUCGUGCUAGCAGCCGCGGUAAUACGAAGGGGGCUAGCGUUGCUCGGAAUCACUGGGCGUAAAGGGUGCGUAGGCGGGUCUUUAAGUCAGGGGUGAAAUCCUGGAGCUCAACUCCAGAACUGCCUUUGAUACUGAAGAUCUUGAGUUCGGGAGAGGUGAGUGGAACUGCGAGUGUAGAGGUGAAAUUCGUAGAUAUUCGCAAGAACACCAGUGGCGAAGGCGGCUCACUGGCCCGAUACUGACGCUGAGGCACGAAAGCGUGGGGAGCAAACAGGAUUAGAUACCCUGGUAGUCCAUGCCGUAAACGUUGGGCACUAGGUGUGGGGCUCAUUCCACGAGUUCCGUGCCGCAGCAAACGCAUUAAGUGCCCCGCCUGGGGAGUACGGCCGCAAGGCUAAAACUCAAAGAAAUUGACGGGGGCCCGCACAAGCGGCGGAGCAUGCGGAUUAAUUCGAUGCAACGCGAAGAACCUUACCAAGGCUUGACAUACACCGGAAACUUCCAGAGAUGGUUGCCCCGCAAGGUCGGUGUACAGGUGGUGCAUGGUUGUCGUCAGCUCGUGUCGUGAGAUGUUGGGUUAAGUCCCGCAACGAGCGCAACCCUCGUCCCAUGUUGCCAGCGGGUUAUGCC